GAACGCGAAGAACCUUACCUGGUCUUGACAUGUACGGAAUCCUCCAGAGACGGAGGAGUGCCUUCGGGAGCCGUAACACAGGUGCUGCAUGGCUGUCGUCAGCUCGUGUCGUGAGAUGUUGGGUUAAGUCCCGCAACGAGCGCAACCCUUGUCAUUAGUUGCCAUCAUUUAGUUGGGCACUCUAAUGAGACUGCCGGCGACAAGCCGGAGGAAGGUGGGGAUGACGUCAAGUCCUCAUGGCCCUUAUGACCAGGGCUUCACACGUCAUACAAUGGUCGGUACAGAGGGUAGCCAAGCCGCGAGGUGGAGCCAAUCUCACAAAACCGAUCGUAGUCCGGAUUGCACUCUGCAACUCGAGUGCAUGAAGUCGGAAUCGCUAGUAAUCGCAGGUCAGCAUACUGCGGUGAAUACGUUCCCGGGUCUUGUACACACC
Molecule: ribosomal RNA, 433 nt
Filed under: uncultured bacterium
Lineage: Bacteria
Description: bacterial SSU rRNA
Rfam family: Bacterial small subunit ribosomal RNA
Source: RNAcentral